CUACGGGAGGCUGCAGUGGGGAAUAUUGGACAAUGGGGGAAACCCUGAUCCAGCAAUGCCGCGUGUGUGAAGAAGGCCUGCGGGUUGUAAAGCACUUUCGGUUGGGAGGACUGCUUCUAGCACUAAUAUUGUUGGAAGUUGACGUUACCUUCAGAAGAAGCACCGGCUAACUCCGUGCCAGCAGCCGCGGUAAUACGGGGGUGCAAGCGCUAAUCGGAAUUACUGGGCGUAAAGCGCGCGUAGGCGGCUAGAUCAGUCGGGUGUGAAAGCCCCGGGCUUAACCGGGGAACUGCAUCCGAUACUGUCUAGCUUGAGUACAGGAGAGGAGAGUGGAAUUCCACAUGUAGCGGUGAAAUGCGUAGAUAUGUGGAGGAACACCAAUGGCGAAGGCAGCUCUCUGGCCUGAUACUGACGCUGAGGUGCGAAAGCGUGGGGAGCAAACAGGAUUAGAUACCCCUGUAGUC
Molecule: ribosomal RNA, 464 nt
Filed under: uncultured bacterium
Lineage: Bacteria
Description: partial 16S ribosomal RNA
Rfam family: Bacterial small subunit ribosomal RNA
Source: RNAcentral